CAAAGUGUAGCUUAAACAUAAAGCAUCUAGCUUACACCUAGAAGAUAUCAUACACAAAUAAUCACUUUGA
Molecule: transfer RNA, 70 nt
Filed under: Diphylla ecaudata (Hairy-legged vampire bat)
Lineage: Eukaryota; Metazoa; Chordata; Mammalia; Chiroptera; Phyllostomidae
Description: tRNA-Val
Rfam family: tRNA
About the family: Transfer RNA (tRNA) molecules are approximately 80 nucleotides in length.
Source: RNAcentral